This 412-nucleotide ribosomal RNA is filed under the name uncultured bacterium. RNAcentral's name for it is "bacterial SSU rRNA". It matches the Rfam family "Bacterial small subunit ribosomal RNA", at positions 29 to 487 of the family's 1533-position model. The record is from RNAcentral.
AACGAACGCUGGCGGCAGGCCUAACACAUGCAAGUCGAGCGCGCCCUUCGGGGUGAGCGGCGGACGGGUUAGUAACGCGUGGGAACGUGCCCAGAUCUAAGGAAUAGCCACUGGAAACGGUGAGUAAUACCUUAUACGCCCUUCGGGGGAAAGAUUUAUCGGAUUUGGAUCGGCCCGCGUUAGAUUAGGUAGUUGGUGGGGUAAUGGCCUACCAAGCCUACGAUCUAUAGCUGGUUUUAGAGGAUGAUCAGCAACACUGGGACUGAGACACGGCCCAGACUCCUACGGGAGGCAGCAGUGAGGAAUCUUGGACAAUGGGGAAACCCUGAUCCAGCCAUGCCGCGUGAACGAUGAAGGCCUUAGGGUUGUAAAGUUCUUUCGCCUGGGAAGAUAAUGACGGUACCAGGUAAAG